This 1333-nucleotide ribosomal RNA is filed under the name uncultured bacterium. RNAcentral describes it as "bacterial SSU rRNA". It matches the Rfam family "Bacterial small subunit ribosomal RNA", at positions 28 to 1382 of the family's 1533-position model. The record is from RNAcentral.
GACGAACGCUGGCGGCGCGCCUAACACAUGCAAGUCGAACGAGAGAUGAGGAGCUUGCUCUUCAGAUCGAGUGGCGAACGGGUGAGUAACGCGUGAGGAACCUGCCUCAAAGAGGGGGACAACAGUUGGAAACGACUGCUAAUACCGCAUAAGCCCACGGCUCGGCAUCGAGCAGAGGGAAAAGGAGCAAUCCGCUUUGAGAUGGCCUCGCGUCCGAUUAGCUAGUUGGUGAGGUAACGGCCCACCAAGGCGACGAUCGGUAGCCGGACUGAGAGGUUGAACGGCCACAUUGGGACUGAGACACGGCCCAGACUCCUACGGGAGGCAGCAGUGGGGAAUAUUGCACAAUGGGGGAAACCCUGACGCAGCGACGCCGCGUGGAGGAAGAAGGUCUUCGGAUUGUAAACUCCUGUUGUUGAGGAAGAUAAUGACGGUACUCAACAAGGAAGUGACGGCUAACUACGUGCCAGCAGCCGCGGUAAAACGUAGGUCACAAGCGUUGUCCGGAAUUACUGGGUGUAAAGGGAGCGCAGGCGGGAGAACAAGUUGGAAGUGAAAUCCAUGGGCUCAACCCAUGAACUGCUUUCAAAACUGUUUUUCUUGAGUAGUGCAGAGGUAGGCGGAAUUCCCGGUGUAGCGGUGGAAUGCGUAGAUAUCGGGAGGAACACCAGUGGCGAAGGCGGCCUACUGGGCACCAACUGACGCUGAGGCUCGAAAGUGUGGGUAGCAAACAGGAUUAGAUACCCUGGUAGUCCACACCGUAAACGAUGAUUACUAGGUGUUGGAGGAUUGACCCCUUCAGUGCCGCAGUUAACACAAUAAGUAAUCCACCUGGGGAGUACGACCGCAAGGUUGAAACUCAAAGGAAUUGACGGGGGCCCGCACAAGCAGUGGAGUAUGUGGUUUAAUUCGACGCAACGCGAAGAACCUUACCAAGUCUUGACAUCCCUUGACGAACAUAGAAAUAUGUUUUCUCUUCGGAGCAAGGAGACAGGUGGUGCAUGGUUGUCGUCAGCUCGUGUCGUGAGAUGUUGGGUUAAGUCCCGCAACGAGCGCAACCCUUAUGGUCAGUUACUACGCAAGAGGACUCUGGCCAGACUGCCGUUGACAAAACGGAGGAAGGUGGGGAUGACGUCAAAUCAUCAUGCCCUUUAUGACUUGGGCUACACACGUACUACAAUGGCGUUAAACAAAGAGAAGCAAGACCGCGAGGUGGAGCAAAACUCAGAAACAACGUCCCAGUUCGGACUGCAGGCUGCAACUCGCCUGCACGAAGUCGGAAUUGCUAGUAAUCGUGGAUCAGCAUGCCACGGUGAAUACGUUCCCGGGCCUU